GCACUCGUGGAUCAGUGGCGAACGGGUGAGUAACACGUGAGUAACCUGCCCUCCACUCUGGGAUAAGCGCUGGAAACGGCGUCUAAUACUGGAUACGACCAAUCCCUGCAUGGGGUGUUGGUGGAAAGAUUCAUCGGUGGUGGAUGGACUCGCGGCCUAUCAGCUUGUUGGUGGGGUAAUGGCCCACCAAGGCGACGACGGGUAGCCGGCCUGAGAGGGCGACCGGCCACACUGGGACUGAGACACGGCCCAGACUCCUACGGGAGGCAGCAGUGGGGAAUAUUGCACAAUGGGCGAAAGCCUGAUGCAGCGACGCCGCGUGAGGGAUGACGGCCUUCGGGUUGUAAACCUCUUUCAGCAGGGAAGAAGCUUUUGUGACGGUACCUGCAGAAGAAGCACCGGCUAACUACGUGCCAGCAGCCGCGGUAAUACGUAGGGUGCGAGCGUUGUCCGGAAUUAUUGGGCGUAAAGAGCUUGUAGGCGGUUUGUCGCGUCUGCUGUGAAAAUCCAGGGCUUAACCCUGGACGUGCAGUGGGUACGGGCAGACUAGAGU
Molecule: ribosomal RNA, 553 nt
Filed under: Kytococcus sedentarius
Lineage: Bacteria; Bacillati; Actinomycetota; Actinomycetes; Micrococcales; Kytococcaceae
Description: bacterial SSU rRNA
Rfam family: Bacterial small subunit ribosomal RNA
Source: RNAcentral